UUAAAUAUUAAAGGUCUUUUGUUUUUUUUAGGUAGUGUUGGAACAAAAUGACCUUUUCACCAAGAACCUGCAACUCCCUAAGGACUGUUAUUUGUCCAAAACCAAGUGUGCCAAGUCCUUUGGUGGUACUAGGUUGCUUACCUGAAGUACUCUCAGCAGGUAAGAAUAUGCAUUUCCUAUGACAAUUUCCAUUGAAAUGGUCCCUUUUUAGUUAACUUGCACCACUCGGUGCUCUAUUCCAUCUGUAACGUAUGAUGAUUUUUGCAGUCUCGUUCGUCUGAAGUCCUGC
Molecule: long non-coding RNA, 289 nt
Organism: Sinocyclocheilus anshuiensis
Lineage: Eukaryota; Metazoa; Chordata; Actinopteri; Cypriniformes; Cyprinidae
Exons: 3
Source: RefSeq, a predicted model, not a curated record